RNAcentral lists this ribosomal RNA (868 nucleotides) under Aphelenchoides besseyi. RNAcentral describes it as "eukaryotic LSU rRNA". It matches the Rfam family "Eukaryotic large subunit ribosomal RNA", at positions 229 to 908 of the family's 3401-position model. Lineage: Eukaryota; Metazoa; Nematoda; Chromadorea; Rhabditida; Aphelenchoididae. The record is from RNAcentral.
CACGUAUCAAGCAGGUAAAGGAGGGACUAUAAAGUCUAGUAGUAGAGAGGGAAUAGAGCGGGAUAACGCAGCACAACCCUAUAUACUACUCAUAUCUCCCCCCUUUACAAGUACCCGUGAGGGAAAGUUGAAAAGCACUUUGAAAAGAGAGUGCAAGAGAACGUGAAACCGAUAUAAUGGAAGCGGAUGGAGCCGACGUAUCUUGCACGUAUUCAAUCCCGCGACAUUGCAAUCGCUCCGUUGACAUUCCGCAAGGUUGUCCUCGGAGUGUUGUUGUUGUGUUCGUUGGGUGCAUUUGCGUGCGGAGUGCGCCGAGUGGAUCGAUGUCGCUGCCGGAUGGGCGUAUAGAGGACUCGUUUACGAGAAUCCUGUACGUUCGGAUAGCAGGUGAUGUUGGUUCGCUUUGUGGAGUGCGGGUGAAUUCGCGAUGGGAGUUGGUUGUGAGUUGUUGUUUCGGAUGGCACAUGUGUCUUUCGUUUCAGCGGCCUACGAUCGGCUUCCGUUGCCCCGGCACUCGACUCGGUGUGUAGUCGGUCACCCAUUCGACCCGUCUUGAAACACGGACCAAGGAGUUUAAGGUGUACGCGAGUCAUUGAGCAGCAACGAAACUCAAAGGCGCAAUGAAAGUGAGACAUUUGAUGUCGACGAUGUGAGCGUUGGGCGUUUCGACGUCCGGCGCGCAACAUCGCCCCGUGACCAGGACUUGUUCUGUUGCGGCGGUUGAGCGUACGCUUUGAGACCCGAAAGAUGGUGAACUAUGCCCGAACAGGAUGAAGCCAGAGGAAACUCUGGUGGCAUUCUACUACUACUACGACGAGGAAAUAGUAGUAGCUGGUCCUUCCUGACUACAAGUAGCCGAUGAAAGGGG